RNAcentral lists this ribosomal RNA (201 nucleotides) under uncultured bacterium. Its description in RNAcentral is "partial 16S ribosomal RNA". It matches the Rfam family "Bacterial small subunit ribosomal RNA", at positions 29 to 213 of the family's 1533-position model. The record is from RNAcentral.
AGCGAACGCUGGCGGCGUGCCUAACACAUGCAAGUCGAGCGAAGGCAUGAGUGUAGCAAUACACUUAUGUACUUAGCGGCGGACGGGUGAGUAACACGUGGAUAAUCUGCCCUGGGGACCGGGACAACUCUUGGAAACGGGAGCUAAUACCGGAUGUGACCACGAUGCUUGAGGGCAUUGGGGUAAAAGGGUGGCCUGCAA